RNAcentral lists this ribosomal RNA (486 nucleotides) under uncultured bacterium. Its description in RNAcentral is "partial 16S ribosomal RNA". It matches the Rfam family "Bacterial small subunit ribosomal RNA", at positions 899 to 1397 of the family's 1533-position model. The record is from RNAcentral.
ACUCAAAUGAAUUGACGGGGACCUGCACAAGCGGUGGAGCGUGUGAUUUAAUUCGAUAGCAAGCGAAGAACCUUACCCAGGCUUGACAUCCCGAGAAGUCUCUGGAAACAGAGAUGUGCCGCAAGGAACUCGGUGACAGGUGCUGCACGGUUGUCGUCAGCUCGUGCCGUGAGGUGUCCCGUUCAGUCGGUAAACGAGCGCAACCCCUAUUCUGUGUUAUACAUGUCACAGAAAACUGCCCGGGUUAACCGGGAGGAAGGCGGGGACGACGUCAAAUCAGCGUGGCUCUUACGCCUGGGGCGAUACACGCGCUACAAUGGGAUGUACAAUGGGUUGCCAAACCGUGAGGUGGAGCUAAUCCCACCAAAGCAUCCCCCAGUUCGGAUUGAAGGCUGCAACUCGCCUUCAUGAAGUCGGAAUCGCUAGUAACGGCCGGUCAGCCAUACGGCCGUGAAUACGUUCUCAGGUCUUGUACACACCGCCCGU